Molecule: ribosomal RNA, 164 nt
Filed under: uncultured bacterium
Lineage: Bacteria
Description: partial 16S ribosomal RNA
Rfam family: Bacterial small subunit ribosomal RNA
Source: RNAcentral
UAGGGAAUCUUCCACAAUGGGCGAAAGCCUGAUGGAGCAACGCCGCGUGUGUGAUGAAGGGUUUCGGCUCGUAAAACACUGUUGUAAGAGAAGAACAUAUCUGAGAGUAACUGUUCAGGUAUUGACGGUAUUUAACCAGAAAGCCACGGCUAACUGCGUGCCCG